UGCCAGCCGCCGCGGUAAUACGGAGGGUGCAAGCGUUGUUCGGAAUUACUGGGCGUAAAGCGCGCGUAGGCGGUUGUACAAGUCAGAUGUGAAAGUCCAUGGCUCAACCAUGGAAGUGCAUUUGAAACUGUAUAACUUGAGUACUGGAGGGGGUGGUGGAAUUCCCGGUGUAGAGGUGAAAUUCGUAGAUAUCGGGAGGAAUACCGGUGGCGAAGGCGGCUUUCUGGACCGAUACUGACGCUGAGACGCGAAAGCGUGGGGAGCAAACAGGAUUAGAUA
This 279-nucleotide ribosomal RNA is filed under the name uncultured bacterium. RNAcentral's name for it is "partial 16S ribosomal RNA". It matches the Rfam family "Bacterial small subunit ribosomal RNA", at positions 506 to 784 of the family's 1533-position model. The record is from RNAcentral.